Molecule: ribosomal RNA, 253 nt
Filed under: uncultured bacterium
Lineage: Bacteria
Description: partial 16S ribosomal RNA
Rfam family: Bacterial small subunit ribosomal RNA
Source: RNAcentral
UACAGAGGUCUCAAGCGUUGUUCGGAUUCAUUGGGCGUAAAGGGUGCGUAGGCGGCGCGCUAAGUCAGGUGUGAAAUUUCGGAGCUUAACUCCGAAACUGCAUUUGAUACUGGCGUGCUUGAGGACUGGAGAGGAGACUGGAAUUCAUGGUGUAGCAGUGAAAUGCGUAGAGAUCAUGAGGAAGACCAGUGGCGAAGGCGGGUCUCUGGACAGUUCCUGACACUGAGGCACGAAGGCCAGGGGAGCAAACGGG